This 488-nucleotide ribosomal RNA is filed under the name uncultured bacterium. Its description in RNAcentral is "partial 16S ribosomal RNA". It matches the Rfam family "Bacterial small subunit ribosomal RNA", at positions 28 to 507 of the family's 1533-position model. The record is from RNAcentral.
GACGAACGCUGGCGGCGUGCUUAACACAUGCAAGUCGAACGCGCCUGUCCUCUGGGUUUCUGGGGGGUGGGUGAGUGGCGAACGGGUGAGUAACACGUGAGUAACCUGCCCCCUUCUUCGGGAUAACGGUCUGAAAGGGCUGCUAAUACCGGGUAUUCACUGGUCUCCGCAUGGGGUCUGGUGGAAAGGUUUUUUUCUGGUGGGGGAUGGGCUCGCGGCCUAUCAGCUUGUUGGUGGGGUGAUGGCCCACCAAGGCUUUGACGGGUAGCCGGCCUGAGAGGGUGACCGGUCACAUUGGGACUGAGAUACGGCCCAGACUCGUACGGGAGGCAGCAGUGGGGAAUAUUGCACAAUGGGCGCAAGCCUGAUGCAGCGACGCCGCGUGAGGGAUGGAGGCCUUCGGGUUGUGAACCUCUUUCGCCCGUGGUCAAGCCGCGACGUGGGUCGUGGUGAGGGUAGUGGGUAAAGAAGCGCCGGCUAACUACGUG